RNAcentral lists this transfer RNA (90 nucleotides) under Candidatus Omnitrophota bacterium. Its description in RNAcentral is "Candidatus Omnitrophica bacterium tRNA-Leu". It matches the Rfam family "tRNA". From Rfam's summary of the family: Transfer RNA (tRNA) molecules are approximately 80 nucleotides in length. Their secondary structure includes four short double-helical elements and three loops (D, anti-codon, and T loops). Further hydrogen bonds mediate the characteristic L-shaped molecular structure. tRNAs have two regions of fundamental functional importance: the anti-codon, which is responsible for specific mRNA codon recognition, and the 3' end, to which the tRNAs corresponding amino acid is attached (by aminoacyl-tRNA synthetases). tRNAs cope with the degeneracy of the genetic code in two manners: having more than one tRNA (with a specific anti-codon) for a particular amino acid; and 'wobble' base-pairing, i.e. permitting non-standard base-pairing at the 3rd anti-codon position. Lineage: Bacteria; Pseudomonadati; Candidatus Omnitrophota. RNAcentral also lists the same sequence under 1 other name. The record is from RNAcentral.
GCCGGGAUGGCGGAAUUUGGUAGACGCCUGGGACUUAAAAUCCCAUGUCCUUUUUAGGACGUGUCGGUUCGAGUCCGACUCCCGGCACCA